AAACUAUUUGGAGUAGAAUCCCUUUUCCUGGUUCCAUGUCUUCUCCGCCCUCUAAUGGCAACGUCCAAGCUCUGCACUAACCUUCGCCGUCUUCGUCCAUCUCGUGUUUACUCCUGCGCUUCCCUUUCUUAUCCUAUCGCCUCUCGACUUCACGAAGCUCACACACUCCCAACCUCUCAUCAUCACUCAUUCCCCAGGCCAACCCAUCGCUUUGAUCAUCAUAUAAGCUCUAUUGGUGCUCUCACCGCCUUCUCCUCUCGGUCCUUGUGGACUCGUUCUGACGAUGAUUCGGAGUUUCAACGAACUGACCUUUUUGCAAGCCGCCUCUCCGACGACGAUACGGGCAUCCAGUCAGGGAUUCAAGACUUGGAACUUGGAGGAGUUGUUGAGGAAGUCAUUAAUGCGACUGCUGUGGAGGACUCAAUUUUACCGACUCAGCAAUUGACUUCGAUGCUGGAUGGGUUUCAUCAGUAUACCGGACUGCCCUGGUGGGCAGUUAUUGCCUCGUCAACUUUAGCUCUCAGAUUCACGUUGCUGCCCUUACUCAUUGUUCAACUCAACAAGUUGAAAAGGAUUGGAGAGUUGUUUCCUAAGUUGCCACCUCCACUGCCGCCACCUCUAUCAGGACGGAGUUACAUCAACCAACUUUCUCUUUUCCGAAAGGAAAGAAAGGCAAUUGGAUGCCCAUCAUUUCUGUGGUUCGUUGCAUACUUUUCCAUUCAGGUCCCAUGCUUUCUAUUGUGGAUGGUUACUAUCCGGAAAAUGUCACUUAAUCAUCAUCCUGGAUUUGACUGUGGUGGUGCUUUAUGGUUUCAAAAUCUAACAGAGUAUCCACAUGGAGUUUUAGGCCCCAUAUUUCCACUUCUAGUUGCCAGUUUGCACUUCAUUAAUGUUCAGGUGUCUUUCAGAAAAUCAUCUUUGGAAAAAGCAACUGGUAUAUUUGGCAUUUUAGCUAAAUACUACAAACUCUACUUGAAUCUACUGACUGUACCACUGUUUUUUAUUGGUUACUGUAUUCCUCAGGGUAGUCUAGUCUAUUGGGUUACGAAUAGUUCGUUCACUGCAAUUCAGCAAUUAACCCUCCAACAUCCUGCUGUACGCAGUAAAUUGGGAUUGCCUUUCAAGGAUGCUCCUGUGGGCACUGCAACUCUCAGAGAAACCAAUGAUCCAGGCAAACUACCGUUGGAUACGCCCACUAAGUGGAAAAAAAUUUAUGUAGAGAAGCUGUCUCCUAAGGAAUUGCUUGCUCUUUCCGUUCAACUCCUAUCAAAAGGGCAAAAAGAAAAGGCUAUUCCUUUACUGCGACAGGCACUUAACAAGGAUCCUGAGUAUGUUCGAGCUUUGAUUGUCAUGGGACAAACUCUGUUACAAAAUGGGCAACCUGCAGAGGCUAUUGCAUUCUUAGAGCGUGCAAUUUCCAAGUUAUUUCUUUCCGGUCAUCCCACAGAAGCUGAGGGUGAAGAUCUUCUAAUUCUUGCAUCCCAAUGGGCCGGUGUUGCCAGUAUAAGGCAGGGGAAAAUGGUAGAAGGCAUUGCUCACCUGGAAAGAAUUGCAAAUAUGAAAGAGCCAGAAGAACCAAAGAGCAAAGCCCAUUAUUACGAUGGAUUGGUUCUGCUAGCAAGUGCUCUUUACAAUGAAGGUCGUAAGGCUGAAGCUACCAAAUACUUACAGUCAGCUGCAGCUUAUAAUCCUGCCUACAAGGAAUACUUGGAUCAAUGCGAGGACGACAAUGAUAAAUUAGUGGGCGAUCUUGUCAGCAGCCGGAGAGGAGAUUAUUGAUUCACUUCCCCUUUCGAAACAUGACUGACUUUUCUUUGAUGUUAUUUAUGAAUAAUCCAACAGAGCAAAUCCAGGAGUUUCAACAGAGCAAAUGUGUCCAAAAUUGGACGAACCCUGAAGCUGAUGGCAAUGACAUUAUAUCUCCCACAUUCAAUUGGUUAGAUUACAGUUGUGAAAUAAACUGAGAUAUGCUUUCAGCCUGAACUUUUGUGCUUCUUUAUAUGAAGUUUGACCGUCAGAAGGAUGAUGAGGGUGGAUUUUGGUUUGUGAAUUAGGUUUCUUAAUUCAGUGUUUAUCUAUAAUAUUUGAUCCAUAUUA
Cucurbita maxima (winter squash) is the source of this 2097-nucleotide RNA transcript. It is a transcript of the gene named ALBINO3-like protein 2, chloroplastic, with no coding region annotated. NCBI's taxonomy places the organism in Eukaryota, Viridiplantae, Streptophyta, Magnoliopsida, Cucurbitales, Cucurbitaceae. The transcript is spliced from 15 exons. The record is from RefSeq and is a predicted model, not a curated record.